UCCAAUUGGCCCAAGCCCUAU
This 21-nucleotide microRNA is filed under the name Gadus morhua (Atlantic cod). RNAcentral's name for it is "gmo-miR-11215-3p". The record is from miRBase by way of RNAcentral. Lineage: Eukaryota; Metazoa; Chordata; Actinopteri; Gadiformes; Gadidae.